RNAcentral lists this ribosomal RNA (238 nucleotides) under uncultured Rhizophagus. Its description in RNAcentral is "partial small subunit ribosomal RNA". The stretch from base 40 to 238 matches the Rfam family "Eukaryotic small subunit ribosomal RNA", at positions 686 to 886 of the family's 1831-position model. The record is from RNAcentral. Lineage: Eukaryota; Fungi; Glomeromycota; Glomeromycetes; Glomerales; Glomeraceae.
GGGUUAGUAGGUUGGUCAUGCCUCUGGUAUGUACUGGUCUCACUGAUUCCUCCUUCCUGAUGAACCGUAAUGCCAUUAAUUUGGUGUUGCGGGGAAUUUGGACUGUUACUUUGAAAAAAUUAGAGUGUUUAAAGCAAGCUAACGCUUGAAUACAUUAGCAUGGAAUAAUGAAAUAGGACAUCGCAUUCUAUUUUGUUGGUUUCUAGGAUCGACGUAAUGAUUAAUAGGGAUAGUUGGG